This is a non-coding RNA of Triticum urartu, 4088 nucleotides long. The record is from RefSeq and is a predicted model, not a curated record. Lineage: Eukaryota; Viridiplantae; Streptophyta; Magnoliopsida; Poales; Poaceae.
UAACUCGCUACGCUCCUGCGAGGAAAACCCGUGCCAAACAAAACCAUACGAUCGAUCCCUCCUGCCCAUAGCAGCGACCUCGAUCCCAUCCUUCAUUGCCGACUCCUCUCGAUCCCAUCUCUACUCCAAUACGAGCCGCCGCCGAUAUCCGAAACGAUCCGCCGCCGCCGAGGACCGAUUGGAGCCGCCGCGGGCGCUGGCCUCCUGCCCUCGUUCGGCGCCGCCGCCGCUCCAUUCCUGCUGCCUUGCCCCUCUCUUCCCUCCAAGCUUGCCGCCGGCGACGAAGCGUACGGCACCGCUACGGCCGUGCUCGAUCGCCUCCAGGAACCCGGCACGCGUGCCGAGGCGAGGGACUCCUGGGCUCCUUCCAUCGCCGCUUUGCCGAUGACCCCGCCGCCGGGCAGGAGUGCUUCCGCGCCUCCAGGAACCCGCCACGCACAUCAAGGUGAAGAAUCCUUUCCACCUGCAGAGGGUGCCGUGCGGGUUUCGCCGGUCUGUGGUCGGCUGCGAUGAAUUGGGCGUCCUGCUGUCUUUUCUUCUUGUGGGUGCUAUUUGUUCGUGUGGACGGAGGUACCCGUGCUGGGGUUCGUGUGGAUUUAAGAUUAGCCGGCAUGGUUGAUUGGGAUUAAGAUCGGACUAUUCCUAAACAUGCCAAAUGUUGCCUGGAUGAUUGGGAUUAAGAUUGACUAAUCCUAACCAUGCCAAUGUUGUGCUUGCAGUGCUUCUUUGGCACCGGCACAAUUCUGGUCGAGUACCUACUCUUCAGGUAAGAAGUUCAGGAAUCAAGAUGAACUGGCAUUCUACAAGUAAUUAAACUGAUGAUGAAUCAUUGUCUUGUCUUCAUUGUUAAGUACAUUUACAGGUUAGGCCUGCUGUCUUUGGCCGAGUGUUAGUUUUAUUAACAAGGAUAUUACAAACAAAAUUUAGAAGGAUUUGGAAGUUUUACACUACAAAAUAAUGGUAGUAGCAUGUUUGGUGCUGAAAGGGUUCUGCUGCAGUGCAAGUUACUUGAGAGAAGAAAUUGUUCAACUUAAAUAAAAUAUGUUCAUUGAUCCAGUGGUAAGCUAUUCCGAAUUUAUUUCAUGAUGUGGCUGCUCAUGUCUGAUUCUUGCUCAUCUGGUGUUCAUUUACACACUUGGUAAUGAUUCUGCAGUUCUUUUCCACACUUGGCCAUGGUAAUCAGGAUUAUGCCAGGCUUGGUCAAGACUAUGCUACAAAAUGGCCUGAAGUGGUGGCUCACUACUACUGUUAUUUCCAUGUUGUUCUUUUAAACUCCACUUCUCUGUUAUAGGCACCUUUUUGUUAAACAACUCCACUUCUAUGUUGUAGGUACCUUAUAGGCAACGGAUGCAGGGUAAAGAGAGUUGCCAUACGUUUUUACGAGCAGAAUUGUGGCAUGCUUUGUUCAAGAUCUGCUGCAGUCAGUAAAUAUUUGUAUGGUCUGCAAUUCUGCAUACUACUAAAGGAGUUACAACUGAGCACUGUACUCGGAGAAAAUUACCAAGGUUCUACUUCGUCCUGGCGCCACUCCCAUCCUUGUCUGCCUCAUGGUCGCGGUCCUAGCCGUGGAUGAUGCCAUUGUGCCGUACUCCCUACUUACCCCUGCAUGACAACCGCGCUACUAUGCCGCUAUGCAAUCAGAUGCUUGUCUCCGUCCUUGUCAGUCCACAAGCAUUGCUCAUAUUUUUGUCCCUAAAAAAUAUUGGAGAGAUAUGCUAAUUUCCUGAAGUUGAAUGUUCUCUUUGAGCACCUCAGUGAUUAAAGAUUAGAUGGAUUUUCCCCUAGGUACAUUGUCAUGUAAGGAAAUUUCCUCAAAGGUGUUUCAAAUUAGUUUGCCGAAUUGCUGAUUGUACCGCUUGAAUGCAGCUAGGAAUAUAGACCAAGUGAUGAUGGCUACCUUUUGGUUCUUAUAAUUGAGUCACGAGCACUUAUAUUGCAUUGUUUUUAUUAUAGUUCACGAGGUUGACUAAUUUGUGAGGCAGUGGCAGUGCAAACAUCGUCAUCUUUUUUUGGUUGACAGUACGAAAUAGUGGCAUCUUGAUGUUGAAGCAAGAUUGUUUGCAAGACAACAUAUGACACCAUCUUCAUUGCCCUUUUUCGUCUCAGGAAUGAAGGUUUAAUGGCUGGACUAUCAUGCUGUCUACUUGGUUUCAGCUGUACAUAUCUUAAUACUUGACCUUCAGUGAGGACUCGUUUCUUAGGAGAAAUAGUAGGAGAGCAACAAUUGAUUGGUAAGUCUUGCUUGCUAUUAGUUGCAUAAUUAAUAUUGAAAUUCGUUAGUUUGCUUCAAGGUUACAAAGCCAGCAAUGAAUGAGACUAUCAUUAUUAGGAUUGAAGGAUGGUUCAAUGUUGUUGAUAGCAGUAAGAAACACUUGCAAAUGUAUGUCUCGUCUAUUUAAAUGUGUGCUCUAAAAAUAAAUGUACACAACUGUCACAAUAUUGUUUACUACAAUAUUUGAAUUAGAAGUAGUAGUUUUAUGUUUUUGUUUAGUUUUAUAGUAUCUCAGUUAUGAAAUAAAUCCAAGCCUUCCUCCAAAUAGGUUUUUUUGCCUUGAUUUUUAUAAUUCAAAUAAUUUUCGUAUUUUAUAAUAUUCAAACAAAAUGGUUUGUAGAGUCAAUGUUCUCUGACUUAGGUAGCUUUAAUUUAAUGCACUGACGAAGCGUUUUACCUGAGACGAGUGCUGGGAGAGGCUGAUUAGGAUUGCAACGAGGGGGAGACGUCGAUGCUGCCGCUGGCGACCGUUACCGCGACCAUGGCUGUGGGAGUGAGGCGCCGGCGACCAUGACAUCGACCGUGUUGGCCCAUGGUGUUUCUGACUUUCCACGCUCCGUUCCAGGUAGCUGCCAUUCCGAUUGAUCCCCUCCAGGUGAGUGAGCAGCUUACACUCAACCGAUGAAGGCAUCCAAAGGUUCGACUAGGUAGUGAGAAGAUUCAAUAGUUUGAGCCUCCUCCACUUCUUCUGUACAAGAUUGGUCAUUUUCCAAAGGGAUGGAAGUAGCUGUUUAGAGGAUCCACUCACAUGAGGUACACCUCAUAAUUUUAAUGUGAACUUAAAUAUUUUGUAUAGCUAUCCAAAAUUUGUGGAUGAACUGGGUCUUGUGUUGCUUAAAGAGUUUGGAGCUCGGACUAAUGUUAGUAUUCUUUGUCACAUUGAACCCGGUAUAUCAAAUGGUUAUAUGGUAGAUUACAGAACAACAUCAACACAGGCAACAUUGAUUAGGUUGGUGUGCAUAAGAUGGUCCUCAGUGAGGAAGUCCAUGACAGCCUGCUAAUCCUAGGCGUCAAGGCCGAUCGAAUCCGAUCACGACAAUCUCAUUGUGUGUUAGAUAAGGCAAGAGUUCCGCACUUGCUCCACUGCCACCAUUGCCACUAUUUGCCGCCGGCGCUUGAUGCAGCGGAGUGUGUAAAAGGAGAAUGUGAAUAAGGAAGUGUGCACGGGAGUAGUCCGUACCUUUUUAUCACAGCGAGGGAGUUAACCCACACUAGCUCCACGAUCUGCUGACCAGCGGUUGCCUGGUUCGAGCCGAUCAACAAUUUCCAUUGAGAGCGAGGUAGUGCAGGGCACCUCGUGGAUGACCCUGUGUAUGCUUCAUAACCAAAACAUAGUCUUCUUUUGGUUAUCUGAUUUUCUUCCAUAUUUGUCCCAAUAAAAUUUGGUCCCGUGGUAACUCACAGGCACAUACCUCGACUAUAAUUAUUUCAAAAAAAGAGACAAAAUAUCACAUAAUAUAUAAAUCAUUUCAUAUAUCAUGCCAGCAAAACCACAUUGUGGUGGUCGCCCUCAGCUAUGACAGUGUGCAUUUCUUAGAACUGGGAAUCGUCCGAUUCAGUGUGGAGGAGAGGAGGGGCGGACGACGCCAUGCAGGGAAGGAGAGAGAGUAGUGAGAGGAAGUUGCGAUCUGAAUGAUGUGGUGCAAGGGGGGAGGCGGCAGUGAGAUACCGUGGAGGGGAGACAUGACAGCGACGAUGAUGUGGCGAGGAGAGCAUGAUGGGGUAAUGAGGGUAUGAAAGAGAUAAAGAUGUAUUAUGUUGAUGUUCAAAAGGAAUCCAUUCAACAAGAAUGUUGACGCGAUGUUGUUGGAAGGGA